This 61-nucleotide transfer RNA is filed under the name Calanus glacialis. Its description in RNAcentral is "tRNA-Pro". The record is from RNAcentral. Lineage: Eukaryota; Metazoa; Arthropoda; Copepoda; Calanoida; Calanidae.
UUUUGGGUAGUUUAAAAAAUAUUAAUUUUGGAGAUUAAAGUUAAGCAUCGCUUUCCAAAAA